Esox lucius (northern pike) is the source of this 4822-nucleotide long non-coding RNA. RefSeq lists it as uncharacterized. NCBI's taxonomy places the organism in Eukaryota, Metazoa, Chordata, Actinopteri, Esociformes, Esocidae. The transcript has 3 exons. The record is from RefSeq and is a predicted model, not a curated record.
GAAUCUAUAAAGGCCUGAGCUCAACGUUCAACAGAGAGCUUUUGACCUGACUCUGCUGAGAGUGUUGUUAACUACUCCAGGUUUAAUAAUCUUGAAUAAAGCUUUUAUUGUGAAAAUAAUUUUCAGUCUCUGUGCCUUUCCCAUUUAGUGAUUUCCACGACAAUUUGGCGACGAGGAUUGGAUGGCUAACUCCGUUCACUGAUCGUUCCCGAGGACUCCAAGGUUCACUGCGCGCAGGGACCACAACAGUGUGAUUCAGGGGGCUCACACACCGUCUAGGCCGGAGCAGAAGGGACCCGCCUCGGACCUGGCAGGAGCGUCAGUGGAUGGAUACGCCAUCCCCAACAUAAAAACUAUAAAAAGACUGAGUUUCUUCUUACAAUACCUCCAUUGGGGGAAAGGUUCUAAAGACCUUUUAAUAAAACCUGUUCGGGGAAAGGUUUCUAAAACCUGUUUAGGCCUGUGGGGCCCCGCGUGGAACAGGCUGUCCACUAAACAGUUUUUGGGAAACUGUAAUUCAUGGAGGAUGAAUAUAAAAUGCAUGUAUAGACGGGAAUUGCAAUGACAUGACAUAGAUGUAUACAUGAAAGAUAACGAAAAACAAAACAAAAAAAAAUAAUAUUCAAAAACCUAAAAUAAACUACAGAAUAAUAAAAACUUAAAUAAUAAUAAAUAAGUGUGAAAAUAGAGAUGUCUCCCUCAUAAAGUAAAAGUUUUUUUGUGUGUGUUAUCAUUUGUUUUGAGUACAAGUGAUAGGGGAUACCAUGAGGACUCGCAGCAGUAAAAACAAAGCCUGCCUUCCGGAUCCACUGAUCGGGCCAGCAAAGAUAAUGCUCCUGUACCAGCACCGGUCCCUGGCCCCUCUCUAUCUCCAACCCAGGUGCCGCCCUCUACCUGAAGCUGGAAAACCUCACGGUCUCCCCUACAGGGUUUAACCCUCCGUCUGCCUCCACUCCCUCUUCCCACACAGCCAUUUAUUCCUUCUCCUGAACCAGCUCCCAUGACUACCAGGUCUGGACGAUCAGCCGACCCUGACCAGGCAUUCCUUCUGACUCCAUUGGUGGCUUACCCUAACUCACAGCCACGGCCAGCCCAAGGACAAGUUGGCCAUAACGAAUGGAGGCCUGAGGUCAGCAUCCAAAAGACUUGGAGACAGGAUGAACUGAAGGACAUUGCUAAUUAAAUGCCAGAUCCCACCAAGGACUGAGUUUGGGAUACGCAUGAUCAAGUUGGUGCCAUCAGGAGCAGAGAUCACACACAUCAUGCGUUCCAGGAUGAAACUACGCUGGGCAGACAUCCAGGAGGGGCUCAAUGAGAACCUUCUCUGGUCCGCAGAGGGGGCAUACCAAACUCAACUCACUCUUCUCCUGGAGAGAAUAAAGACUGCCUACCCCACAGUGACUGAUUGGGCUGCGAUCCACAGUUGUGUACAGGGUCCUAAAGAAUCCCUGGAAGACUACAGAGACAGGUUGGAGAAGUGUUUCAGGAAAUACAGUGGCCUGACCCUGAGAACUUUAAUAGCCUUAUAAAGGCUGCCCUGGCGCAUGGCCUCCAGCCUGCUUUGAGCAAAACUGUGAAACUCACUUGCAUUGGGUGGGAGACAGUACUUCUACAGACUGUGAUUGAACAUUGUAAACAUGCAGAACGGCAGCAGCAUUGCACUUAUAACAAGGCUAUAUCCAAACAAGGAAAGGAAAUCCCCAAGCUCGAGGCUGCUCAGCUCAUGUAUUAUCAGGGACAAGGUCAGCAAUUCGCAGGAAAUGGGGGAGGAACUGGUGGUUUUCGGAGGAGUGGAAAAUCAUGGUAAAUAUCGUCACUUUUAUAGAGAAUGCCCUGACCCGGAGAGACAAGAAGUUGUGGGUGGCAGAUGGGACCAUCAAACAAUGUCUUCACUGCAGCGCUUGCUCAGAAUUUGGAAGGGUUCGUACCUCCGGCAGGAGGACCACAGUGGGAAGCAGCGGUCAGUGGCGUACUACUCCAAGCAUUUGGAUCUAGUCUCUCGGGCUCUGGUCUGCUGCCUACAGGCAGUUGCCCCAGCUACUGAGGCUGUUCUGGCUUGUGCAGAUAUUGUUGCCAUGUGCCCUUUCACUGUUCAUUGCCUUCAUCAUCGGUAUUGCUGUUUCCGCCAUUAUCUGGACCAUGGAGGCUGGGGGGAACAACAGAGAACCUGGAGGGACCAACAGCAGCAGAAUAGUCCAACAGCAGGACUUAAAUAAUAGGUGGGCUCAAUACUUGAGUCUAGCAAAUAACUGCCGCCCCAGCCGUUACAGGAGGACCGCCGAACUGCAUGAUUGGGCAACAGCCCAUGGGGAACGCCAUCAUGAGAAUGGCUGGUGGUUGCUGAUGAACCACACUAUGAGACGGGUCUUGAGGCACACCAGCCCCUGUUAUGCCUGUGCACUCAUGCCCCAUUUGGCUGGGGGUUCACAACCCUUCUACCCUGAACCACUUGUCACCACUAGUAUGUUACUGGGCCUACAUCCAUGACGUACAACAGACAAAUUGUCUAGAAGAAAUUGCAGGUUGCUCUUGUCUUACAACUACGCAGCCUGGUGUGACAGAAUCAUUAGCACACCCCUUGACUCUAAACCUGACCCGAUUCCCUUGGUGCCACGAAUUACCCCUUUCUCUGCUACCUGUUAUUGCAGAGAAGAUAACAAAGGAACAUUUAUGGGACUAUGGACAGGUACUGAUUCUGCUUAUUAUUACUGUAAGUCUAAAAGCAGUGUAAGCAUGCGCGGUAUGAUGAAUCCUGGUGAAUUUUGUAGGAGUCUGUUCUUCCCUGCGUUUGGUACCCGAUGUUAACCGCAUCUCACAGCUCACACUUCUCCCACUUAAACCCCCCUACUUUGUACACAUCCAGGCCCGCAUAGGUGUGUUGGCCCCAAAUGUCACCGGGGCUGGCGCCUAUACAGACCACUGUUGGGCUUGUGGGGAUAAUGCUUGUGUCUACCUGCCCUGGGGAUGGACUGGGUGUUGUGUUUUUGUUACUUUGAACACCACAAUAAAAAUGUUUCCUAUUUCACAUAAUGUAUACCAUCGGGUCCGCCGAAGUGCAAUAGGCUCCCAUAGUGGUAUUCCAUUAGAUGCCAGGCGCACCAAUAGCUGGGAGAAGUUCUGGCGUGGGUUAAUUCCUUGGUACGGGGCUGUUGAGAAUGCCCAUGAGAUUGAUAGAAUAGGUUAUGAAUUAGAAACGCAUGCUAAUAUCACUACAGAGGGUUUUAUGAUAAUGAGGCCUGAGCUGAGAGGCGUGUUAUGGUGUUGCAAAAUCAUAUGAUCUUAGACAUGAUGUUAGCAGAACAGGGUGGGAUAUGUCAUCUGGUUGGCCAGCACUGUUGUACCUAUAUCCCAGGGGGUGAUCAAAACCUUACAUAGGUUGUUCAGCACUUAGAUUCUCUUCGGCAGCAGUUGACUAGUGAACAGCGGACCAGUGACGAUGGGGUCCAUUUGGCUGGCUGGAAUCAUGUGUGGGUGUAUGGGGCAGCAGGAUUUUUCAUUGGGCCAUUUACGGUUUGGUUGUCUUAGGUGCUAUGUUGUUUGCAGUCAUGUGUGUUAAGAAGAUGUGUGCCAAAGCUGUGGGGGUUGUGUUCAAUAUGCCAUUACUUGCCCGACUUGAUUCUGAUUCUUCUGGUUUUGAUUCAGAUGGUGAUUAUGAAGAGACCAUUAUUAGUUUCCCUAAUAUCUAUCCCGAUGUAGAGUAGCAGGAUGCUAUUUCCUGUGGUUGUUUAUGUUUUUCUUGGCCUUGUUCACAAUUCUCCCACUUACCCUCACUGACACUGACCUAGACAACAGGCACAUGAAUGUUAUGCUUUUGAACAGGGGAUCAAUGUGAAGGACAUGGAUGGCAACUGUAACGGAACCAAGUAAACAUGACUAUUUUUAUAAUCAUUGCUUGCUGAAAUUAUUUUUGUGACUGUAACAUGAAUAAUAAUAAAGUAUUUGUAUCAUUCCUUAGGAUAUGGGAAGAAAGGUUUAUGCAUUAUUAAAAGUUUGUUUUGCAUCUUAUCAAUAAUAAUUUAGUGAUGAUUAAUGGUAGGAGAUUUAUUUUUUGGAUAAUAAUCUGUUGCUUUUGCUGGAAUGUAUGAUGUACUUUCUACUGAUUUGUUUUUCAUUGAGACAGUCUCAAAAGGAGGGAUUGUGGUAGAAAUGUUCUCAUUCUAUAGUAAAUUAAUAUUCAUAUUGCUUAUUCUAAGUACAAUCCAAUCAUUUAGUAAGGCCAUUAUGUGUUUUUCGACUCUGCUCACUUGUACAGGAUGUGCCUACAACUAUAGACAGCUAUAGUUCUGGUUAAACAGGUUUCUAAAUCUUGAAUAAACCUGUGAAAAGAAGCUACAGUCUCUGUGCCUUUCCCGUUUAGUGAUUUCCAUGACAGCACCCUGGUUGGACCGGUCGCCGUGGCCGGUGACGAUCCGGCAGCAGACACGCUUCUACGGUGCACUUCGGGGUUGGUCAGCUGGUAAUACAAAGUGGAACAUGAACCCCCCCGCAAACAUAUAACCACUUGACCAGACAGAAAUGAGCUUAGUGCACUCCCAGAACCCCCUCUCUUAUCUUACAUAUGACCUCCCCACUUGCUGCCGGUCUUCGUCGCUAAACAACAACGAGCGACACCCUCCCCCCCGUUAAGACGAGUGCAAUGGGCGGAGCCCCUGGUCAAUGCAAUCGCGUAACUGUUUGAAUGCCCUUGUUUCACACGGGUUCCCAUUCUCCCUGUCGUGCUCCUGGUUCUCUGCUUAUAUAGUCCUCGAGUCCCAAACAGAGCCCCUCAAUUAUCCCCAGGUCUUAUCUCAUCUCAUCUUCAUCCGGUGUUAGGUCGCUGGGG